UGCGUAGGCGGGGCAAUUAGUCAGUGGUGAAAUCCUGCGGCUUAACCGUAGAACUGCCAUUGAUACUGUUGCCCUUGAGUAUAGUUGAGGUGGGCGGAAUGUGUAAUGUAGCGGUGAAAUGCAUAGAGAUUACACAGAACACCAAUUGCGAAGGCAGCUCACUAAGCUAUAACUGACGCUGAGGCACGAAAGCGUGGGGAGCGAACAGGAUUAGAUUCCCUGGUAGUCC
RNAcentral lists this ribosomal RNA (229 nucleotides) under uncultured bacterium. RNAcentral describes it as "partial 16S ribosomal RNA". It matches the Rfam family "Bacterial small subunit ribosomal RNA", at positions 568 to 796 of the family's 1533-position model. The record is from RNAcentral.